AUGUGGGGCUUGAACUCAUGACCCUGAGACCAAGAGUCACAUGCUCCGCUGACUGAGCCAGCCAGGCACCCCUUGAUGUGGUUUUGUAUCCACCCAACGUAGAUUUAGUUUUCAGAUCUCCUUCAGAGAGAAACUGUUCUGAACGUGGCUAUAGACGUCGUGUGUCGGACAGGAGAUAAAACCAUUUACAAACUGUUUCCAAACUUACAAUUAACAAAUGAAGAAGGAAAUAAAUGGAAACAUCAUUACCUUUACACUGAGGAGGGUCACUACUCCACUUGUUAUUCCCAACACAAAUAAGUUUGCUGUCUCCAACAAGUGAAAAUUCGUCUGAUCCUUGUGAAGGAUUACAACUAGUCUUUGGGGGAGAAUUCCAGGAAAAUGGCAGAGUGGGAAGUGCCAGGAACCUGUCUACCCAACUGGGCAACAACUGCAAUGGCAGAAUCUGUCAAGGGUGACUACUGUGGAGCUCUGGAGUCUGUUGAUGGCUUGCAACUUCCCAGGAAAGACUUGGACAGGUUUACCCUUGAGCUUCAUAGUUUCGAAUUUUGGUGGUUCACCACAGGCAUCUAGUGAUAAGACAACGAGAAUAUGAAAAUGAAGUAUUUAUCUCUUUCACCAGCCAAGGCUCUGGUCUGGCAGCAGAGAACUGUUUCUCCCUGAUCAGCUACUGUUUCUUUUCAGACCCUACUAAAAAAACUCAGAAGAUUUUUCUGCAGCAGCCUGGUUUCAAGGUCAAUGGAUGAACAAGCAAGGCCAUACAUUCCUUACCCGAGAUAAGGAGUCCAAGACCCAAUCCAGGUUAUACUGGUUCUCAGAGCAGACCCGUAGCCCCUUCUCCUUGUCCUAAGAUAACUGCAUGAGGCCAGGGUGCUAAAUUUUGCCUCCUUCUGAUGCUAAGUAUCCACCCCAAAGGGAACGUGGGAUAUAUGCUUGCGGUCACUGAAUGCACAUGCUCUACCUCUCCUCAUGAUUAGUUGUAGGUUUCCCCACUGUUUUAUCAAUAUGUAUAUAAUCCCAACCCUAUGAUUAUUAAAGAAAAAAAACUUGUUCUUGCCUCCCUCAGAGAGGGGGCUUUGGGGCUUGUUCUCCCAUCCCCUCCUUGGGUUGCCUCUCAAAUAAACUUUCUUCGCU
This is a non-coding RNA of Puma concolor (puma), 1134 nucleotides long. The record is from RefSeq and is a predicted model, not a curated record. Lineage: Eukaryota; Metazoa; Chordata; Mammalia; Carnivora; Felidae.